UACGUAGGGGGCCAGCGUUGUCCGGAAUCAUUGGGCGUAAAGCGCGCGUAGGCGGCCAGAUAAGUCCGGUGUGAAAGUCAAAGGCUCAACCUUUGAAUGCCGCUGGAAACUGCCUGGCUUGAGUCCGGAAGGGGCGAGUGGAAUCCUGGUGUAGCGGUGAAAUGCGUAGAUAUCGAGAGGAACACCUGCGGCGAAGGCGGGAUUGCUGGGC
This 211-nucleotide ribosomal RNA is filed under the name uncultured bacterium. RNAcentral's name for it is "partial 16S ribosomal RNA". It matches the Rfam family "Bacterial small subunit ribosomal RNA", at positions 524 to 734 of the family's 1533-position model. The record is from RNAcentral.